RNAcentral lists this small RNA (146 nucleotides) under Xenorhabdus thuongxuanensis. Its description in RNAcentral is "IS009". Lineage: Bacteria; Pseudomonadati; Pseudomonadota; Gammaproteobacteria; Enterobacterales; Morganellaceae. The record is from RNAcentral.
AAACGCUAUCUAAUGUCUCAGGCUGCAAAUACCAUUACGCCGUUGCAAUAUGCUGUAGAUCUGAAAAUGGAAACGGAUAGCGAGCAAUCGACACUGAUCGCGUGGAAAAAAUACAUGGUGUUAUUGAACCGUGUAGACUGUUCGAC